GAGUUUGAUCCUGGCUCAGAACGAACGCUGGCGGCGCGUCUUAAACAUGCAAGUCGAGCGGUAACACUUCGGGUGACGAGCGGCGAACGGGUGAGUAACACGUGGGUAUCUGCCUUAGAGCGGGGGACAACUACUGGAAACGGUAGCUAAUACCCCAUAGUCCGGUAACGGUAAAGGAUCGUUUGAUUCACUCUAAGAUGAGCCUGCGGCCUAUUAGCUAGUUGGUGGGGUAAUAGCCUACCAAGGCAACGACGGGUAGCCGACCUGAGAGGGUGAUCGGCCACACUGGCACUGAGACACGGGCCAGACUCCUACGGGAGGCAGCAGUUAAGAAUCUUGCGCAAUGGGCGAAAGCCUGACGCAGCGACGCCGCGUGAGGGAUGAAGGCAUUCGUGUUGUAAACCUCGGUAAGAUGGGAAGAAUAAGAGUAUUCGAAAGGAUGCUUGAUGACGGUACCAUCCUGAAGCCCCGGCUAAUUACGUGCCAGCAGCCGCGGUAAUACGUAUGGGGCUAGCGUUGUUCGGAAUUAUUGGGCGUAAAGGGCACGCAGGUGGAUAAAAAAGUUGGUUGUAUAAUCUUUCGGCUCAACCGGAAGUCUGCUUCCAAAACUAUUUAUCUUGAGUACCAGAGGGGAGAGCGGAAUUCUCGGUGUAGCGGUGGAAUGCGCGGAUAUCGAGAAGAACACCAGUGGCGAAGGCGGCUCUCUGGCUGGUUACUGACACUCAUGUGCGAAAGCGUGGGUAGCGAACAGGAUUAGAUACCCUGGUAGUCCACGCCGUAAACGUUGUACACUAGGUGUCGGGGGUUUCAACGCCCUCGGUGCCGCCGCUAACGCAUUAAGUGUACCGCCUGGGGAGUAUGCUCGCAAGGGUGAAACUCAAAGGAAUUGACGGGGGCCCGCACAAGCGGUGGAGCAUGUGGUUUAAUUCGACGAUACGCGAAACACCUUACCUGGGCUUGACAUCUAGUGGGCAGGCGUAGAGAUACGCUCUCCUUCGGGCCGCUAGACAGGUGUUGCAUGGUUGUCGUCAGCUCGUGUUGUGAAAUGUUGGGUUAAGUCCCGCAACGAGCGCAACCCCUACUUUCUGUUGCUACCAGGUAAUGCUGGGCACUCUGAAGGAACUGCCGGUGACAAACCGGAGGAAGGUGGGGAUGACGUCAAAUCAGCAUGGCCCUUAUGUCCAGGGCUACACACGUGCUACAAUGGCCGGUACAGAGGGUUGCAAAGCCGCGAGGUGGAGCAAAUCUCAGAAAACCGGUCUCAGUUCGGAUCGCAGUCUGCAACUCGACUGCGUGAAGCCGGAAUCGCUAGUAAUCGCGAAUCAGCAUUGUCGCGGUGAAUACGUUCCCGGGCCUUGCACACACCGCCCGUC
Molecule: ribosomal RNA, 1373 nt
Filed under: uncultured marine bacterium
Lineage: Bacteria
Description: bacterial SSU rRNA
Rfam family: Bacterial small subunit ribosomal RNA
Source: RNAcentral